This 247-nucleotide ribosomal RNA is filed under the name uncultured bacterium. RNAcentral describes it as "partial 16S ribosomal RNA". It matches the Rfam family "Bacterial small subunit ribosomal RNA", at positions 793 to 1050 of the family's 1533-position model. The record is from RNAcentral.
GUCCACGCUGUAAACGAUGAUCGUUAGCUGGUGGAAUAAUUCACUAGCGUAGCUAACGCAUUAAACGAUCCGCCUGAGUAGUAUGCUCGCAAGAGUGAAACUUAAAGGAAUUGACGGGGACCCGCACAAGCGGUGGAGCAUGUGGUUUAAUUUGAAGAUACGCAUAGAACCUUACCCACUUUUGACAUCUUUUGCAAAGCUAUAGAGAUAUAGUGGAGGUUAACAAAAUGACAGAUGGUGCAUGGUU